CGCAUAGAAACUGACAGAAGAGAGUGAGCACACAAAGGCACUUUGCAUGUUCGAUGCAUUUGCUUCUCUUGCGUGCUCACUGCUCUAUCUGUCAGAUUCCGGCU
RNAcentral lists this microRNA precursor (104 nucleotides) under Arabidopsis thaliana (thale cress). RNAcentral's name for it is "miR156c stem-loop (ath-MIR156c)". Its record names the gene ath-MIR156c. The stretch from base 11 to 95 matches the Rfam family "mir-156 microRNA precursor family". From Rfam's summary of the family: This family represents the plant microRNA (miRNA) precursor mir-156. Animal miRNAs are transcribed as ~70nt precursors and subsequently processed by the Dicer enzyme to give a ~22nt product. RNAcentral also lists the same sequence under 1 other name. The record is from miRBase by way of RNAcentral. Lineage: Eukaryota; Viridiplantae; Streptophyta; Magnoliopsida; Brassicales; Brassicaceae.